AAAAGGGGCUUCUGUCAUGAAUGGCACAUGUAGGGUGCCUCGUUUGCUCUUCAUGCGGAAUUGACAUCAAGAGAUUUCAGAAGUGUAAUUUUUGUUGCUUGGGCAG
Molecule: small nuclear RNA, 106 nt
Filed under: Dasypus novemcinctus (nine-banded armadillo)
Lineage: Eukaryota; Metazoa; Chordata; Mammalia; Cingulata; Dasypodidae
Description: U11 spliceosomal RNA (ENSDNOG00000048141.1)
Rfam family: U11 spliceosomal RNA
Source: RNAcentral